Molecule: ribosomal RNA, 508 nt
Filed under: uncultured bacterium
Lineage: Bacteria
Description: bacterial SSU rRNA
Rfam family: Bacterial small subunit ribosomal RNA
Source: RNAcentral
UCGAGCGGGACAUUUCGGGUAGCAAUAUUCGGAAUGUUCAGCGGCGCAAGGGUGCGUAACACGUGGGUAAUCUACCUUGAAGCCCGGAAUAACUCCGAGAAAUCGGAGCUAAUACCGGAUGUGAUGUUGGGAUGGCAUCAUCCUGACAUCAAAGUUGGGGACCGUAAGGCCUGACACUUCUAGAUGAGCCCGCGGCCUAUCAGCUAGUUGGUGGGGUAACGGCUCACCAAGGCUAAGACGGGUAGCUGGUCUGAGAGGACGACCAGCCACACUGGAACUGAGACACGGUCCAGACACCUACGGGUGGCAGCAGUCGAGAAUUUUUCACAAUGGGCGCAAGCCUGAUGGAGCGACGCCGCGUGGGGGAUGAAUGGCUUCGGCCCGUAAACCCCUGUCAUUUGCGAACAAACCUUCCGACCUAACACGUCGGGAGCUGAUUGUAGCGGAAGAGGAAGGGACGGCUAACUCUGUGCCAGCAGCCGCGGUAAUACAGAGGUCCCAAGCGUUG